UUUCCCUUGACACUUAAAAAAAAAAAAGUCUUUAUUGCCAGAUUCCAAGUAACCGGUUACUGCUGGGAAUCUCUGUUUAGGGGCUUCAUCUACUGGCAUUUGGAACAAGGCAACUGGUUUCAUUAACCCAGAGUACAGAGGUUCCAAGCGGAUGCAGCCUAAGCUUUUGUACCUGGGUGACAGCGACACAGGAUCAGCGGGACAUUAUGCAUAGGUAUGAUGCUAAUUAGAAAGGCUGCGCUGGACAAAAACGGGGAGGCAGAAAAAGAGAAUGGAGAAGACAAGAGAGAUGCUGCAGGGAUGAGGGCAUGGGAAGGAUGAGGCUGACUUUGGGCAAUUGUAUUUUGUUUUAUAAACCUUGUACUGGGUGUCUGCAAAAAAGGGGUUAGCAUGAUAAAUAUCUCUUGGAACUCUAAAGCACCCUAGAGCCAUUCCCAAGAAUACUGCUACCUAAACAAUGACUCCUCUGCCUCAGAUAGAGAGGCCAGUGAGAACAGAAGCCUGUUUCAUCGCUGUCAGCCAACAACAGUCAAGCUCUUCUCCCGAAAUUCUUCACAUAAUUGAAUUUUCACAUAACACGGUAUAUGGCUAAAAACAGAAAUCAUAUUUGAGAAAGGGGAAAAAAAGAUCUUCAGAGCAUUUAUAUCUGUACAUUUCCUUCUCACCCACCUCCCAUCUUUAAAUUUACCCCGGGAUUUGCAUUGAUUUACAUUUGUAUCGGUGUGAAAUUAAGCCUUUUAAAGUGAACACUCUGUGGCCUCUCCUACAUUCUCAGUGUCGUGCAAUCAGCAUUCCUAUGUGGCUCCAAAAUACAUUCUUAUCAGCAAGGAGGAAACUGUGUACCAUUAAGUUACUCCUUUCUGGAAGCCAACAGUCUGCUUUCUGUCCACAAAGGUUUCCUUAUUUUAUUUGCUUCAUUUGACCUGUGCCCUAUUUUUGUCUGGCCUCUUUGAAUUGGCUGCUGUAUGCAAGACACGCCCACAUCAUAGCAUCUACCAGUACCCACUUCCUUCUGUUGGUGAGUAAUAGUCCAUUGGUUAUGGAUUCAUACAAUGGGGAUUUGAGUUCUUUUUAGGU
Molecule: long non-coding RNA, 1077 nt
Organism: Meriones unguiculatus (Mongolian gerbil)
Lineage: Eukaryota; Metazoa; Chordata; Mammalia; Rodentia; Muridae
Exons: 3
Source: RefSeq, a predicted model, not a curated record